UGGUUGGGAGGGCGUGUGGUUGGUUUCAGUCGCUGUAGCUACUGGGGUCCGCUUGGGUUUAAACCCCAGCCCAGCUU
Non-coding RNA from Ailuropoda melanoleuca (giant panda), 77 nucleotides. Lineage: Eukaryota; Metazoa; Chordata; Mammalia; Carnivora; Ursidae. The record is from Rfam.